UACGGGGGGGGCAAGCGUUGUUCGGAAUUACUGGGCGUAAAGGGCUCGUAGGCGGCCAACUAAGUCAUACGUGAAAUCCCUCGGCUUAACCGGGGAACUGCGUCUGAUACUGGAUGGCUUGAGUUCGGGAGAGGGAUGCGGAAUUCCAGGUGUAGCGGUGAAAUGCGUAGAUAUCGGGAGGAACACCAGUGGCGAAGGCGGCUACCUGGCCCAUUCUUGACGCUGAGGCGCGAAAGCUAGGGGAGCAAACGGG
This 253-nucleotide ribosomal RNA is filed under the name uncultured bacterium. RNAcentral describes it as "partial 16S ribosomal RNA". It matches the Rfam family "Bacterial small subunit ribosomal RNA", at positions 524 to 776 of the family's 1533-position model. The record is from RNAcentral.